AUACGAAGGUGGCAAGCGUUGUUCGGAAUAACUGGGCGUAAAGCGCACGUAGGCGGAUUGUUUAGUUAGAGGUGAAAUCCCAGGGCUCAACCCUGGAACUGCCUUUAAUACUGGCAGUCUAGAGACCGAGAGAGGUGAGUGGAAUUCCGAGUGUAGAGGUGAAAUUCGUAGAUAUUCGGAGGAACACCAGUGGCGAAGGCGGCUCACUGGCUCGGUACUGACGCUGAGGUGCGAAAGCGUGGGGAGCAAACAGGAUUAGAAACCCCUGUAGUCC
RNAcentral lists this ribosomal RNA (274 nucleotides) under uncultured bacterium. Its description in RNAcentral is "partial 16S ribosomal RNA". It matches the Rfam family "Bacterial small subunit ribosomal RNA", at positions 523 to 796 of the family's 1533-position model. The record is from RNAcentral.